AGAGUUUGAUCAUGGCUCAGAUUGAACGCUGGCGGCAGGCCUAACACAUGCAAGUCGAACGGUAACAGGAAGCAGCUUGCUGCUUCGCUGACGAGUGGCGGACGGGUGAGUAAUGUCUGGGAAGCUGCCUGAUGGAGGGGGAUAACUACUGGAAACGGUAGCUAAUACCGCAUAAUGUCGCAAGACCAAAGAGGGGGACCUUCGGGCCUCUUGCCAUCGGAUGUGCCCAGAUGGGAUUAGCUUGUUGGUGGGGUAACGGCUCACCAAGGCGACGAUCCCUAGCUGGUCUGAGAGGAUGACCAGCCACACUGGAACUGAGACACGGUCCAGACUCCUACGGGAGGCAGCAGUGGGGAAUAUUGCACAAUGGGCGCAAGCCUGAUGCAGCCGUGCCGCGUGUAUGAAGAAGGCCUUCGGGUUGUAAAGUACUUUCAGCGGGGAGGAAGGGAGUAAAGUUAAUACCCUUGCUCAUUGACGUUACCCGCAGAAGAAGCACCGGCUAACUCCGUGCCAGCAGCCGCGGUAAUACGGAGGGUGCAAGCGUUAAUCGGAAUUACUGGGCGUAAAGCGCACGCAGGCGGUUUGUUAAGUCAGAUGUGAAAUCCCCGGGCUCAACCUGGGAACUGCAUCUGAUACUGGCAAGCUUGAGUCUCGUAGAGGGGGGUAGAAUACCAGGUGUAGCGGUGAAAUGCGUAGAGAUCUGGAGGAAUACCGGUGGCGAAGGCGGCCCCCUGGACGAAGACUGACGCUCAGGUGCGAAAGCGUGGGGAGCAAACAGGAUUAGAUACCCUGGUAGUCCACGCCGUAAACGAUGUCGACUUGGAGGUUGUGCCCUUGAGGCGUGGCUUCCGGAGCUAACGCGUUAAGUCGACCGCCUGGGGAGUACGGCCGCAAGGUUAAAACUCAAAUGAAUUGACGGGGGCCCGCACAAGCGGUGGAGCAUGUGGUUUAAUUCGAUGCAACGCGAAGAACCUUACCUGGUCUUGACAUCCACGGAAGUUUUCAGAGAUGAGAAUGUGCCUUCGGGAACCGUGAGACAGGUGCUGCAUGGCUGUCGUCAGCUCGUGUUGUGAAAUGUUGGGUUAAGUCCCGCAACGAGCGCAACCCUUAUCCUUUGUUGCCAGCGGUCCGGCCGGGAACUCAAAGGAGACUGCCAGUGAUAAACUGGAGGAAGGUGGGGAUGACGUCAAGUCAUCAUGGCCCUUACGACCAGGGCUACACACGUGCUACAAUGGCGCAUACAAAGAGAAGCGACCUCGCGAGAGCAAGCGGACCUCAUAAAGUGCGUCGUAGUCCGGAUUGGAGUCUGCAACUCGACUCCAUGAAGUCGGAAUCGCUAGUAAUCGUGGAUCAGAAUGCCACGGUGAAUACGUUCCCGGGCCUUGUACACACCGCCCGUCACACCAUGGGAGUGGGUUGCAAAAGAAGUAGGUAGCUUAACCUUCGGGAGGGCGCUUACCACUUUGUGAUUCAUGACUGGGGUGAAGUCGUAACAAGGUAACCGUAGGGGAACCUGCGGUUG
This 1522-nucleotide ribosomal RNA is filed under the name metagenome. RNAcentral's name for it is "bacterial SSU rRNA". It matches the Rfam family "Bacterial small subunit ribosomal RNA". The record is from RNAcentral.